AGUCAAGCAACUAAGCGCAUACGGUGGAUGCCUUGGCAGUCAGAGGCGAUGAAAGACGUGGAAGCCUGCGAUAAGGCUCGGGGAGCUGGCAAACAAGCU
Molecule: ribosomal RNA, 99 nt
Filed under: Marinobacter sp. JB05H06
Lineage: Bacteria; Pseudomonadati; Pseudomonadota; Gammaproteobacteria; Pseudomonadales; Marinobacteraceae
Description: partial 23S ribosomal RNA
Rfam family: Bacterial large subunit ribosomal RNA
Source: RNAcentral